AACGCAUAUUGCACCAAGUGCGCAAGCACCUGGUAUGCCUGUUUGAGAAUCAUCAAACCACAUAUUGUCCUUGUGACGUGUUGUGCCCGCAGCGAUGGGGCGCCGAGUUUCGUGCUGAUGUGUCAAGCAUACUCAUCUCUGUCCUUCCACAUCAUGAUCUCAAAUCAGGCAAGACUACCCGCUGAACUUAA
Molecule: unclassified non-coding RNA, 191 nt
Filed under: uncultured fungus
Lineage: Eukaryota; Fungi
Description: partial contains 5.8S ribosomal RNA, internal transcribed spacer 2, and large subunit ribosomal RNA
Source: RNAcentral